UUUGAGUUAAAUGGUGAGUAGCCAACUUGGAGGAAGUGAUCAACCCUUGGGAUAAAAUUAAAUUCGCUUCUUUUUACCACAAAAACUUUUUACCGUGGGUAAAAUGAAUCUUAUUGGGUAUAAAAAGAACCAGAUUUAAAUUUAACCCAAGGGUUAAUGAUGUAUUUUUUCCAAGAAGGCUGCUCACUAUUUACCCCAAG
RNAcentral lists this microRNA precursor (200 nucleotides) under Medicago truncatula (barrel medic). Its description in RNAcentral is "MIR2670 microRNA precursor family". It matches the Rfam family "MIR2670 microRNA precursor family". The record is from Rfam by way of RNAcentral. Lineage: Eukaryota; Viridiplantae; Streptophyta; Magnoliopsida; Fabales; Fabaceae.